RNAcentral lists this ribosomal RNA (253 nucleotides) under uncultured bacterium. RNAcentral describes it as "partial 16S ribosomal RNA". It matches the Rfam family "Bacterial small subunit ribosomal RNA", at positions 524 to 776 of the family's 1533-position model. The record is from RNAcentral.
GACGUAGGGGGCCAGCGUUGUUCGGAAUUACUGGGUGUAAAGGGUUCGUAGGCGGUGUGGCAAGUCGGGAGUGAAAGCCCCCGGCUCAACUGGGGAGGGUCACUCGAUACUGAUCGACUUGAAGGUGGGAGAGGGAAGCGGAAUUCCCGGUGUAGUGGUGAAAUGCGUAGAUAUCGGGAGGAACACCAGUGGCGAAGGCGGCUUUCUGGCCCAUUCUUGACGCUGAGGCGCGAAAGCUAGGGUAGCAAACGGG